GACGAACGCUGGCGGCGUGCCUAAUACAUGCAAGUAGAACGCACAGUUUAUACCGUAGCUUGCUACACCAUAAACUGUGAGUUGCGAACGGGUGAGUAACGCGUAGGUAACCUGCCUGGUAGCGGGGGAUAACUAUUGGAAACGAUAGCUAAUACCGCAUAAUAUUGAUUAUUGCAUGAUAAUUGAUUGAAAGAUGCUAUUGCAUCACUACCAGAUGGACCUGCGUUGUAUUAGCUAGUAGGUGAGGUGACGGCUCACCUAGGCGACGAUACAUAGCCGACCUGAGAGGGUGAUCGGCCACACUGGGACUGAGACACGGCCCAGACUCCUACGGGAGGCAGCAGUAGGGAAUCUUCGGCAAUGGACGAAAGUCUGACCGAGCAACGCCGCGUGAGUGAAGAAGGUUGUCGGAUCGUAAAGCUCUGUUGUAAGAGAGGAACGGGUGUGAGAGUGGAAAGUUCACACUGUGACGGUAGCUUACCAGAAAGGGACGGCUAACUACGUG
RNAcentral lists this ribosomal RNA (505 nucleotides) under uncultured bacterium. Its description in RNAcentral is "partial 16S ribosomal RNA". It matches the Rfam family "Bacterial small subunit ribosomal RNA", at positions 28 to 507 of the family's 1533-position model. The record is from RNAcentral.